RNAcentral lists this ribosomal RNA (570 nucleotides) under Hypnea charoides. Its description in RNAcentral is "eukaryotic LSU rRNA". It matches the Rfam family "Eukaryotic large subunit ribosomal RNA", at positions 364 to 1009 of the family's 3401-position model. The record is from RNAcentral. Lineage: Eukaryota; Rhodophyta; Florideophyceae; Gigartinales; Hypneaceae.
UUGAAAAGCACUUUGAAAAGAGGGUGAAAAGAACCUGAAACCGUCAUGGGGGAAGCGGAUUGCGUUGAGUUGAGUGAAUCUUUGUGUGUUCAGCCCUUUUGGGUGCAUUGACAUGAGAUUCGAAUCGUCGUGGGUUUCCGAGGGUGGAACUUGCAUUCUCGGGGACUGAGGGCUCCCUUCUUGUAAGGUCUGAGGACGACGAUGUAGCGACGCGAUACGACCCGUCUUGAAACACGGACCAAGGAGUCUAGCGUGAUUGCGAGUCUAAGGGUGUUGAAACCUGACGGCGCAGUGAAAGCGAAUCAUUUAAAAUGAGCAAUUUGAGGCGGCAUAGAAUCGUUGAUUCUAAGUCCGACCUAGAGCCAUUACGCUGGGACCCGAAAGAUGGUGAACUAUGCCGGAGUAGGGCGAAGCCAGAGGAAACUCUGGUGGAGGCUCGUAGCGGUGCUGACGUGCAAAUCGCUCGUCUAACUUGGGUAUAGGGGCGAAAGACUAAUCGAACCAUCUAGUAGCUGGUUCCCUCCGAAGUUUCUCUCAGGAUAGCGGGCCGACAAUAGAGUUGUUCUGUGU